UUAGAGUUUGAUCCUGGCUCAGAUUGAACGCUGGCGGCAGGCUUAACACAUGCAAGUCGAGCGGAAACGAUGAUAGCUUGCUAUCAGGCGUCGAGCGGCGGACGGGUGAGUAAUACUUAGGAAUCUACCUAGUAGUGGGGGAUAGCACGGGGAAACUCGUAUUAAUACCGCAUACGACCUACGGGAGAAAGGGGGCAGUUUACUGCUCUCGCUAUUAGAUGAGCCUAAGUCGGAUUAGCUAGAUGGUGGGGUAAAGGCCUACCAUGGCGACGAUCUGUAGCUGGUCUGAGAGGAUGAUCAGCCACACCGGGACUGAGACACGGCCCGGACUCCUACGGGAGGCAGCAGUGGGGAAUAUUGGACAAUGGGGGAAACCCUGAUCCAGCCAUGCCGCGUGUGUGAAGAAGGCCUUUUGGUUGUAAAGCACUUUAAGCAGUGAAGAAGACUCCGUGGUUAAUACCCACGGACGAUGACAUUAGCUGCAGAAUAAGCACCGGCUAACUCUGUGCCAGCAGCCGCGGUAAUACAGAGGGUGCAAGCGUUAAUCGGAAUUACUGGGCGUAAAGGGAGCGUAGGUGGCUCUAUAAGUCAGAUGUGAAAUCCCCGGGCUCAACCUGGGAACUGCAUCUGAAACUGUAGAGCUAGAGUAUGUGAGAGGAAGGUAGAAUUCCAGGUGUAGCGGUGAAAUGCGUAGAGAUCUGGAGGAAUACCGAUGGCGAAGGCAGCCUUCUGGCAUAAUACUGACACUGAGGCUCGAAAGCGUGGGUAGCAAACAGGAUUAGAUACCCUGGUAGUCCACGCCGUAAACGAUGUCUACUAGUCGUUGGGUCCCUUGAGGACUUAGUGACGCAGCUAACGCAAUAAGUAGACCGCCUGGGGAGUACGGCCGCAAGGUUAAAACUCAAAUGAAUUGACGGGGGCCCGCACAAGCGGUGGAGCAUGUGGUUUAAUUCGAUGCAACGCGAAGAACCUUACCUGGUCUUGACAUAUCUAGAAUCCUGCAGAGAUGCGGGAGUGCCUUCGGGAAUUAGAAUACAGGUGCUGCAUGGCUGUCGUCAGCUCGUGUCGUGAGAUGUUGGGUUAAGUCCCGCAACGAGCGCAACCCUUGUCCUUAGUUACCAGCGGGUUAAGCCGGGAACUCUAAGGAUACUGCCAGUGACAAACUGGAGGAAGGCGGGGACGACGUCAAGUCAUCAUGGCCCUUACGACCAGGGCUACACACGUGCUACAAUGGUAGGUACAGAGGGCAGCUACACAGCGAUGUGAUGCGAAUCUCAAAAAGCCUAUCGUAGUCCAGAUUGGAGUCUGCAACUCGACUCCAUGAAGUAGGAAUCGCUAGUAAUCGCGGAUCAGAAUGCCGCGGUGAAUACGUUCCCGGGCCUUGUACACACCGCCCGUCACACCAUGGGAGUUGAUUGCACCAGAAGUGGAUAGCUUAACCUUCGGGGAGGCGUUCACCACGGUGUGGUUGAUGACUGGGGUGAAGUCGUAACAAGGUAGCCGUAGGGGAACCUGCGGCUGGAUCA
RNAcentral lists this ribosomal RNA (1526 nucleotides) under Psychrobacter sp. KJF7-10. RNAcentral describes it as "16S ribosomal RNA". It matches the Rfam family "Bacterial small subunit ribosomal RNA". Lineage: Bacteria; Pseudomonadati; Pseudomonadota; Gammaproteobacteria; Moraxellales; Moraxellaceae. The record is from RNAcentral.